Molecule: ribosomal RNA, 274 nt
Filed under: uncultured bacterium
Lineage: Bacteria
Description: partial 16S ribosomal RNA
Rfam family: Bacterial small subunit ribosomal RNA
Source: RNAcentral
AUACGGAGGGUCCGAGCGUUAAUCGGAAUUACUGGGCGUAAAGCGUACGUAGGUGGCUUGAUUAGUCGGAUGUGAAAGCCCUGGGCUCAACCUGGGAACUGCAGUCGAAACUGUAUACCUUGAGUCCAGCAGAGGGAAUCGGAAUCCUAGGUGUAGCGGUGAAAUGCGUAGAUAUCUAGGAGAACACCAGUGGCGAAGGCGGAUUCCUGGGCUGGUACUGACGCUGAGGUGCGAAAGCUAGGGGAGCGAACGGGAUUAGAAACCCCAGUAGUCC